CCUACGGGUGGCCGCAGUGAGGAAUAUUGGUCAAUGGACGAGAGUCUGAACCAGCCCAGUAGCGUGAAGGAUGACUGCCCUAUGGGUUGUAAACUUCUUUUAUAUGGGAAUAAAACGUUCCACGUGUGGGAUUUUGUAUGUACCAUAUGAAUAAGGAUCGGCUAACUCCGUUCCAGCAGCCGCGGUAAUACGGAGGAUCCGAGCGUUAUCCGGAUUUAUUGGGUUUAAAGGGAGCGUAGGUGGAUUGUUAAGUCAGUUGUGAAAGUUUGCGGCUCAACCGUAAAAUUGCAGUUGAAACUGGCAGUCUUGAGUACAGUAGAGGGGGGCGGAAUUCGUGGUGUAGCGGUGAAAUGCUUAGAUAUCACGAAGAACUACGAUUGCGAAGGCAGUUCACUGGACUGCAACUGACACUGAGGCUCGAAAGUGUGGGUAUCAAACAGGAUUAGAUACCCUAGUAGUC
RNAcentral lists this ribosomal RNA (460 nucleotides) under uncultured bacterium. RNAcentral's name for it is "partial 16S ribosomal RNA". It matches the Rfam family "Bacterial small subunit ribosomal RNA", at positions 338 to 795 of the family's 1533-position model. The record is from RNAcentral.